AGUGAACGCUGGCGGUAGGCCUAACACAUGCAAGUCGAACGGCAGCACAGUAAGAGCUUGCUCUUACGGGUGGCGAGUGGCGGACGGGUGAGGAAUACAUCGCAAUCUACUUUUACUUGGAGGAUAACGUAGGGAAACUUACGCUAAUACAUCAUACGACCUACGGGUGAAAGCAGGGGAUCUUCGGACCUUGCGCGAUUGAUUGAGCCGAUGUCGGAUUAGCUAGUUGGCGGGGUAAAGGCCCACCAAGGCGACGAUCCGUAGCUGGUCGGAGAGGAUGAUCAGCCACACUGGAACUGAGACACGGUCCAGACUCCUACGGGAGGCAGCAGUGGGGAAUAUUGGCCAAUGGGCGCAAGCCUGAUCCAGCCAUACCGCGUGGGUGAAGAAGGCCUUCGGGUUGUAAAGCCCUUUUGUUGGGAAAGAAAAGCAGCAGGUUAAUACCCCGCUGUUCUGACGGUACCCAAAGAAUAAGCACCGGCUAACUUCGUG
Molecule: ribosomal RNA, 492 nt
Filed under: uncultured bacterium
Lineage: Bacteria
Description: partial 16S ribosomal RNA
Rfam family: Bacterial small subunit ribosomal RNA
Source: RNAcentral